RNAcentral lists this ribosomal RNA (519 nucleotides) under Triticum aestivum (bread wheat). RNAcentral's name for it is "partial small subunit ribosomal RNA". Lineage: Eukaryota; Viridiplantae; Streptophyta; Magnoliopsida; Poales; Poaceae. The record is from RNAcentral.
UUUUGUGAAAAGAUUGUUGAGGUUUUCAUGGAUGAAUUUUCUGUUUAUGGGAAGUCUUUUGAUGAUUGUUUAAGCAAUCUUGAUCGAGUUUUGCAGAGAUGUGAACAGACAAAUCUUGUCUUGAAUUGGGAGAAGUUCCACUUUAUGGUUAACGAAGGUAUUGUUUUGGGCCAUAAAAUUUCUAAAAGAGGUAUUGAGGUGGACAAAGCUAAGGUUGAUGCAAUUGAGAAAAUGCCAUGUCCUAAAGAUAUCAAAGGUAUUCGUAGUUUCCUUGGUCAUGCUGGUUUCUGUAGGAGAUUUAUCAAAGACUUUUCUAAAAUUUCUAGGCCUCUUACAAAUCUUUUGCAAAAGGAUAUUCCUUUUGUUUUUGAUGAUGAUUGUUUAGAAGCCUUCGAAACACUCAAGAAAGCCUUAAUUUAUGCACCUAUUGUUCAACCACCUGAUUGGAACUUGCCUUUUGAAAUUAUGUGUGAUGGUAGUGAUUAUGUUGUUGGUGCUGUUCUAGGACAAAGAGUUGAU